AAAAAGGGCCUCUGUUGUGACUGACACAUGGAGGGCAACUAGACUGCUCUGCAUGUGGAAUGAACAUCAAGAUAUUUCGGAAGCUUUAUUUAUUAUGUAUACAGCAUUCUCCUUGCAUGUAUGCCUGCAGGUCAAACAGGG
Non-coding RNA from Mesocricetus auratus (golden hamster), 141 nucleotides. The record is from Rfam. NCBI's taxonomy places the organism in Eukaryota, Metazoa, Chordata, Mammalia, Rodentia, Cricetidae.